Molecule: long non-coding RNA, 996 nt
Organism: Pteropus alecto (black flying fox)
Lineage: Eukaryota; Metazoa; Chordata; Mammalia; Chiroptera; Pteropodidae
Exons: 4
Source: RefSeq, a predicted model, not a curated record
AGAGCUCUUAACUUUUCCUCAAAAGUGGUUUAAAGCAUCAAUUGUAAGCCAAUUAUAAUGACUUUUUGUAUCUGUUCUUGAUUUUCUCAUAGAGAUUCAUAAGGUGAGUUUCAGAGAUCCCCAAGAUCACCUGGAACCCUCAAGGGGAAUUUCAGGAAGUUGUACCAAAUAUGAACCCUAAGGUUGAAGUCAGACUCUGCUGAUGUCAUCAACACAUCCAAAGAAACAAAGUACUGGUCACGAGAACGCUUGGUUGCCAGUGGAAGCCAGAAGAGGUAGCCCUACCAGCAGGAUGGGCUGGGUGCUGACGCAGACACCCAGUAGCUGCUGCUUGCUCUUAGGGUGAUGCAGGAGAGGCACAGCCUUUGUGCAGAAAAGCCCCAUCCGGAGCACCUGACACUGCAAGUGAAGCACCCAUGGCAUUCCAGUCUCCACCCAGCUGCUCUGCUGGGUGCCUUUGGAAGGGCACAAACUGCACAUCCUUUUCUGCUGCAGCCCUUCCUUCAAUGGUACUGCUUUCUCUCAAUGAGAAGUAAGGGGAUCUAACUGAUUAAGCCUACUGGGUACCAGAUGCUUUAAUACUUUAUUAAUCUCAUUUAAUCACCUCGACAAUCACGUGAAGUAGGCAUUUUUAUCCCCAUGUUACAGUUGAGGCAACUGAAGUUAAGCAACUUGCCCAGAGUCAGCCGGCCAGGAAGACUUGUGAGCCUUCACAAGAGGGACUGAUCUGGAGGCUUGGAAUGGUUCCCCUCCUGGUUCACGCUGAUGCUGUCCCUGAAAAGUUGUGGAUGAGCAGUGGCCCAAGCAAUGAAAGAAUUAGAAUCACUGCUGAGGACAGGAGAGAUUUCACCAGCUUUGUCUGGGGAGGUCUGCUACAGUGACUAUCAAAAUGAGAAAGGACAAGCCACAUAGUGUCUCCUGAGAAAAAUCACCAUUCUCUUCAGAAAUGCAAUUUUUUUGAGAUUAAAAAAAUCGCGUCUGCCUUCUCAUCUAUAA